UCUCUGCUCCUUCCAUGUGCUCUCUCUCUCUCUCUCUUUCAAAAUAAAUAAAUAACUUAAAAAAAAAAAACACCUAAGAAAAAAUGGGAGUAUAAAAGACCACAUAACUUCAAAUCCCAUACACUUUACACCUAACCAAAGUAUCUCUCCCAUUUAAGUGGUACCAAAAAGCUAAAGAACAACAGGACAAUGUAAGAACAGAAAUGAUCCAGAAAACAAUAAACAGGAGACUAACUAGGGAGACAAGUGGAGCAAACACUAGACAAGAUAGAAAUCCGAGUAUUGGCGCUCUAGGGUAAUGCUGCCACUAUGUGCCUGACUUGGGAAAAUCCAUUCUCCUCUCUGGGCCUCUAUGUCUCCAUCAGCAAAAUGGAGUCGCGGAUUCAUUGAUCCUUUUUCCAGCUCUGUGUGGUGAUUCUAUUUGGAAAACAGUGAAGCCAAAAAUAUGUGAGCAGGGGGAAAGGCUAUGAUUUUUCAAAUCGCUCCAAUUAAGGAAAUAGCAAGAGUGGAGAAAGUCCCGGGACCGAAACAAGGAAGCCAGAUGAGCCUCCCACGGGGCUCACAAGACAAGCCGUGACCUGUUUGGUGAGCCACACCUGCUCCUCACAUUCCUUCCAAGGGCAGUCCAGGCCUGUGCACACAGCAGUGAAGAGGAAUUCUGAGGGGAACUCCUGGAGGUAGAGACUAAACCCCGGAAUAUAGCUAGUUCUAGAUACUCCUGCCCUCAGCAGAUGCAAGCUGAGUUUCAAAACAUACGUGUGAGGGGUUCUUCCUUAACACAAGUGAAGAAGAAAGGUGUCUCAACCCGCUUGGUGCCUAGGAGAACAGCCUGGGCUAGGAAGCCAAAGACAAAAGUUCUCAACCCUGGCUUUAGCACGCCGAGGAUGUGUGAUUCAGAGCUACCCAAGCUCUUUGGACCUCGGUUUUCUGUCACAUGAAAUGGAUAAGGUCUAUAGGAGAGGAGCAAAUUUAAGAUACCCUGAACUCUAAGUGCUCAUAUUGUUCCAGGCACUUUAUCAAUUACUGCCCUUAAUCUUUGCAUUGAUGAAAGAGAUCUGCAGUUUCAUGCAACACAAAGGGAAACUGCAGAGAGGUAAGGGACUUACCUACUUACCUGCCUAGUGGAGAAGGAUUCGAACUCAGGUUUGUCAUCACUUGGGCUAUUUCCAGGAAGCCCACGUCUCAAAGACGAUUCAUGUACAAAGUGCUUUUGUGAAGUAUUAAGUGCAAUAAAGUGCAAAGACUCUUAGUCCUGAAUUAAUGCAGAAAUUUAGAAAUUAUCCAGAAGGGACAGUCUAUGAAGAAAUUGGCACUUUCAGGGCUUUUUCCUUUGUUUAGCCGCCCACUCAACCCUCAGUCUGUUUAUUUUGUAGGCAGUCAGGUGAGUUUUUUGAAGUGACUCUUGAAACAAUGGCAGUCUGCUGUAGUAAAAAGAAUGCCAGCCUGUCUAGUUUCCAGCUGUGCCACGGGAACAUUCAUCUCCAGAAGUCACUAGCCUGUUCCCUCUGUAAAACGAGGGGCUAGGUUUGAGGGGCCAUGGUCUCUUGAGCUAAGCUGGCUAUUCAGUGACUCAGGGAAGCUGCACGAACGGUCUCACACUAUUACAGUUCCCAUGCUGGCCCCGGCCCCUUCCACUUUGAGGAAGCCAGCCAACAUCCAUCUUCUCCCCCUCCCCCUCCCCCUCCAAGCCCCAUCUGAACCAGAGAGGACUUUGGGGGGGGGGUGGGGGCGGCGCCCUAGCAGGCGUGCUUACAGAUUUAGGGAUCCGCCAGCCACUGCCCCAAGCCGGAAAGACCGCUGCUGAAAGAUACCACCCCCUUUUCUUACCUGUGUUUCAACCUUUGUGGGGCAGGCGGAAACCACAGGGCAGGAGUGGGAGGAGGCAUGAUGGAUUCCCGGGGAAGAAACUGAAAUCCUGACUUAGCUAUUUGCUGUCAGGGGUAGCAACCACUCCCUCCUUUGUGCACACCCAUUGUUGCCCCAGUUUCCCAGUAAUUACCCUAACUUGUUUACCUGCAGGCUCCCCAACAGUGAGUGCCCUUCUAACACACUCCACAUAAAUGAAUGCGAAGGGGUGAAAAUGAGGAAGUAAGCAUGAAGGAGCCAGGUUGCCAGUUUUUACAGCUAAUAGGAAGCAGAGGUUUUUAAAGUGUAUUAUUGGUGAAAUUUUAGGAGAACAACCUGGGUGCGUGCCACCCCCGCACUUCCGCGGCCAGAGAGUAAGGCCCACUACAGACUAGCUGUAACUACUUGGAAGCUUCCUUUAACCUGUCUGGGAGCCACAAUACUUGGCAAUUAAGUAAACUGCCAGGGGCUAAAUGGACAGAAUACCACUACUUGAGGCAGGGCAGGCAUUCAAAGAACUACCGCAUUUCUUUCUCCACCGGAGGUUCUUGAGAGAACCUAAAACUGGUCCCCUUUCCCUACAACAGCAGCUCGUUUUAGCCGCCUCCUUCAGACCCACCCUUAUGCAGUCUGAGGGAGGCUUCCAAUCUUAUUUAGAAAAGCCAGUAUUUAAACCAGCCUGUUAAUGCAUCUCAGGAAAACAGGAGAGGCAAAAUGAAAUGCCUGCUCCUGCAAAAAAUAAAAUAAAAAACGUGUUAGGAUUUGAAAUGAGAAAUCUGAGCCCAGGGAAAUGAGAGGACCUGAACGUGAUGUAAACCUGGAGCGAGUUUUCACAAACUCCCAUCUUUUGGUCUGUGCCUUUUCCAUAUUUUAUUACAUUUGUGUUUUUAAAAAAAUCACAUUAGCAUUAUCAACGACAAAAUAUGUACAAACAUUUUACAAAAGAAACAUUACUAAUAUCAGCUAUAAUAAGGGCGGGCUGAAGCACAGACGCGGAGUUUCGGGGGCCGAGUCUGCCCUCAAAAGACAUCUCAAAUGUGUUCAGGCAGUUGAGACAGGCUUCUUUCCCGGUGACAAGCACAUGUGGUCGGUAAUACAAACGACAGCAAAUGAGGACAGUACACGGGCUCAGUUGGCGAAAUCCUCUUCUCACCAGGAAGGCCACGACACAAGUGGAGCUAAUCAAAUAACUUAACCCAGGACGGUAAAAGCGCCGUUCCCCCCACCUAAGCGCAUUUAAGCCUUCAACAUCGAUUUCAAACGACGCUGGACUCUAAUACAGACACGUGCUUCUUAGAACCCUGCGCCACACUUUAACUCUUCGAGCCAGGAGAUCGGUAGAGCGU
This is a long non-coding RNA of Herpailurus yagouaroundi (jaguarundi), 3191 nucleotides long. RefSeq lists it as uncharacterized. The record is from RefSeq and is a predicted model, not a curated record. NCBI's taxonomy places the organism in Eukaryota, Metazoa, Chordata, Mammalia, Carnivora, Felidae. The transcript is spliced from 3 exons.